GUGCUCUCUUUGGCAGCAUGUAUACUAAAACUGGAAAAAUACAGAGAAGAUUGGCAUGGUCCUUGUGCAAGGAUGACAUGCAAAUUCUUGAAACAUUCCAUAUUUUU
RNAcentral lists this small nuclear RNA (107 nucleotides) under Salvator merianae (Argentine black and white tegu). Lineage: Eukaryota; Metazoa; Chordata; Lepidosauria; Squamata; Teiidae. The record is from RNAcentral.